CUUGGGAACUGGAAAAUUUCUCCCACUCUCCAGCCCUGCCUUUUCUAGUGGCCAAUUUAGCCUCUAUGUCUGGACGUCUGGUUGGUGUUGACUAAAAAAUAUAGUCACCAUCACCACCUGAAAGAGAGUUAUUUUAUUUGGUGAGAAUGUUUAGGACUCUGAGCCCUGGAGACAGUAUCUCGGUAGCUCUGAGAAAAGUGAUUCAAGGAACCGGAAGGGGAGUCAGGGUAUAUACAAGUUUGCAGCAAAGGGAGCAGGAGCAGGCAGUCUGAACAUCAAAGAUCAGAUAGCAAAUUAAGGAACUUAGCAUUCUGUAUAUGGGAAGAUAAAAGGCUCUUGGCUCACUGAAUUCAUUCCUUUCAUAUGCACCUCGGCUAUCUGGGGCCAAUCCUGUUUUCUUGCUCACCUUAAGGAGUGACAGAUGGCUCUUCUUGCAUUCCCCCAGCUCCUCAGCAACCACUGUGGGGAGUGGUGGCAUCUGCUGGAUCACAGUUUUGGGAACCCUUAUUCAUAUUUGGAGGCCAGAAACUGCUGAUGGCUGUGACAUUUCUUGUUAAUUGAUACGGCAGGAGAUAUUUUCACUUUACACUAGUAUCUCACAGUCAUGUCACUUAUGUCUCAACAGAAUGGACCCUUGUCUAUGAGAUGCUAUGUUGGAGUUCUGGAUUGUCACUCUGGGGUCACAGCAUGGGCUCGUCAUGUGGUGGUUGAUGGCAGGGGGCAAAUUUUCUCAACCUUACUGGGACUUUAACAUCCAAACACAAGCUGUAGAAAAUCAAACAGAGCAGGAUUUACAUGUUCUGGAAUCAAGACUAUUGCUCCUGUUUUAUUUACUUCACUCAUAGGACUUUGAUGAGGGAUGUUUUGAUGAGUAUCUCUCUGAACAGUUGGAACAUUCUUGUAAAUGAUUGUUCUACAGCUUAAAAAGAAAUUCCAUCCUACCAGCUCACAAGUUCUUUUUACCCAGCUCUAAUCAUAUAAAUUGUUAUGUAAACAGAUGUCUGUUACACCAAAGUCUACUUCACUUGGGAACUCAACUUUUUCUGAGUUCAUAUGCCAGUGGGCUAAAAGAAUCAUCUUUUGAUGUUACCAAGGAACAUUGUAUGCCAUCAGGAUGAGAGUGAAAAGGCAGUCAUCAGUCAUGCUCCUUUGCCUUCAUGCUCCAAGGAACAGAGAGAAAAGACCCAGAAGAGCGAGCAUGCUGCAAGUCUUGGUUUGAUCCCUAACGGAACUCUUUGUCUUGGUUAAAUUAAUUCCUUUCCCCAAAGCACACACUUUUGUCAGUGCCUCCUCUAUAACUGUGAUAAAGACAAUAGUAUAUAAAAGGUUUUCCUCUGCAGAGUUUUAUUUGAUCUUCAUAAGACAGUCAUGAAACAGGUAAAAAAGAAACUAUGGUCUUCCAUUAGCAAAGACUAAUAUCUCAAAGCCACUGAGCUAACAAUAACUCAUUCAAUCAUUCAUGCCUGAAACAAUAUUUCCCAUUGGUUACUAUGUGCCAGGCAUUGUGUUUUAUGCCUCUACAGAAUGAUGACUAAAAACAGACCUGAACAUUGCCCUUAAAAAUCUUAUAGUCUUAUUGAGAAGACAGACAUUAAUGCAUUAAUAGUAAAAGUGGAUUGUUACAAACCAUGGUUGCCUUAUGAUUUGAAAGUAUAAGAAUUACAAGAAUAUGUAGAAGAAGUACUAAGAAGGAUCCCUUCAGAAAAUGAAUUUGGGGCUGAGUCUGAAUAAUGCAUAGGGUUUAUUUAGGGCAGGUAAAAGGUGGAAUAUGAACUAAGAGAACACAUUACACUUUGGGAUCCUAAGAAAGACCCCAUCUGGGCAGGAACUCUGAAAGGGAGGGGGCAUGGGGUGAAGUGAGAAAGGGGACAGAGCCCUCAGAUUGAGAAAAGCCUUCAUGGGGGAAUCAAAAGUAGUCAGGAGGGAGCAAUUUUCACUGGAUGUAUUUAAGCAGAAUAAAGACAACCACGUCUUGUGGACA
Molecule: long non-coding RNA, 1981 nt
Organism: Bos indicus x Bos taurus (hybrid cattle)
Lineage: Eukaryota; Metazoa; Chordata; Mammalia; Artiodactyla; Bovidae
Source: Ensembl